CUGGCCCAGCAAAGCCCAGUCCUUGAAAGAAGAAAAGCUUCAGCCAAACAAAAAAAAAAACAAAGAAGCAGAAGAACCGUCCCUUUCACGGCAGAUUUGCAAGCUAGAAUCCAAAAACUUCAAUUAGGUUGGAAUCAAUUUCAAAUUUCAAAUUCUCCCUCUCUUCAAUAUCAUAACUCACUUUCUUUCUCAUGGAUUUCAAUUCUUCUCUCAUCAGCUCUCUCUCAUCCUCUCUGAUAUCUUCACCACCACCAACACCUUCGCUGUCGUCACUUUCUUUCUCAUUGAUUUCAUUAAGUUCUCUUCUCAAUCAAAUCCUCCACUAGGUAACAGAUAAUUUAGGAUUCGUCAAUCUGUAAGUAAUCCCUUUUUAUCUUUUAUAUGGUUUCUCUAAUUUAUGGAUUACAUUCAUCUCAUGUUUUGAAUUUUUUUAUUCAUCCCCUGUAUUAUUACAUUGUUUGUUCUUUGAUUCAUAUUGUUUCUAUUUUAUUGAUAAAUUUGGAAUACAAUGAUUUUCAUGAUUAUUAUUUGUAUAUUUGGAUUCAGAAGUCACAAAACCUUAUGAAGAUACUUUUGUAUGGAUUUGAUGUAUAAGCAUGAAGGUUUCUUCAGCUUCUUCAUAUAGAAAGGUUCCAAAAUUAGGGUUUGAUUGAGUAAGUUUUCUGAACUUCAAUUGAUUGUAUUUGAGUAGUAUUUAGCUUAUGUUUAUUAUUUGAGUAGUUAUGUUUUUGUUUUGAUUUUCGAUUCAGAAUUCAAUAUUAUUAGAAAGUUUAUCAAAUUCAGAAUUCAGGUACUUUGUAAGCAUUAAUUAAUUAAUAAUGAUCAUGAGAUAAACCAUCAACUUGAUUUAGUUACUUACUUUCAUAGGUAUUCUAGAUGGAUAAUCUUAUCAAGGUGUAUCAAAUUUGCAAUCUGUGUGUGAUAAUUUGGUUGAUUUUCAUUCUAUUUUCAAUGAGUUAUAGGCAGUUCAAUUUUGAAGUAAUAGAUCUAGAUUUUUUUUUUUUUAUAUUCAAUAGAUCUAGAUUUUUGUUGGUGAAAGUUUAAAACUUUCAUCCUUGAUUGUUGAAUUGUGUUGGUACAUCAACUUUAUCUGUUAAUUAAAUUUUUGGAAUGGUUCUUGAAUUAAUUUGGAGGUUAAUGAGUAAUGAAAUUUACAGGUGGGGUAGAAUCUUUUACCUAACUAAAGGAAUAUAGAUUGAAUUAGGGCUCAUAUGAAUAUCAGAUGUGGUUAUUGUGAUGAUCAUCAUAAUCUUCAAUCUAAUGAGAACAUUUUCUAUGUAGAUUUUGUAGGCUUAGACACUGUAAUUUAUUUCUCUAUACUUGGUUGGAUUCUUAUAGGCUAUUGCUAAAGAUAAACUUGAUUGGGGGUGAUACAAGUAGUGUGAGUACUCCAGUUUUAUAUUACAAUAAGGCAUAAGUUAUUUAACUGUAAUAUUUUAAAUUAGUCUUUGCAAUAAACUCAAUUUUAGAUUAGUCUUUUUGUUGAACAUUGUUGCUUAUUUAUGUUGUUGAGUCUUGUGUUGUGAUUGAAAUCUAUUGAAUUUGUGUGUUGGAAAACCUUUCGUUGUAACAAGGCUUCUGAAAAAUAAAAGUGGUGUGAUUUCUUUCCAUAUUAGAGCCUUGGUCAUUUUGUAGGUGUUUGGAUCAAUUUAUUUCAUAUUUCAGUUUCACAUGUUUGUUGUGAUUAUGAUGACGUUAACUAUUAAGUAUGAUUUUUGGUUUUUAUGUAUUCUUUUAUGCAAGAUGAUAUUAAGUAUUAGAUAGAUGAAGAAUGUGCAAACUAAAGGACAUCAUGAAGAGAAUUCUUUUUUUUGUGUAAUACAUUGAAUCAGGGAACAACAAGAGUGACGAACAAGGAGUCUUUAAAUAGUCACCAAAAGUAUGAAUUCAAGACACUAAAUUUAAGGAAAGGAGAAGUGCAAGAAGACGAUAUUUACAUUUAAGUUUCUCACUUCCUUUUCAUUGAUGAAGAAAGAGGUAGUACAUUAAGAUAUCUUCCAUAAAUUAAUUUAUUAUUGCUAUCUAUCUUUUAUAUUUGUUCAUCAUCCUAAAAACUACAGACUUAUAUGAAGUAUAUAAAGAACAAAAUAACAGUACAGGGGAUGCCAUCUUAUUAUAUUAAGCAACCACUUUAUAUAUCAAUGCAUACAAAAUAAAAUCAAUUAGCCGUUUUGACUUUAAAUUUACUUGAACAUGUACUUAUGAUUGUAUUUUAUGCUAUUAGGUGAGUGAAGAUCCAUUCAUCUUGCUUCUUGCAAAGGUAACACAUCAAGCAUGAGAUUAAAUAGGUCACGACUUUAUAUCCAAUACCAAGUAAUAAUUAGUGCACAUAAUGUGCCAUAUACAAGCAGAAAAGCUCGACACGAGCUUGAUAUUGUACCAGUUCUCCAACUACAAGGAAACUCUAGAGUUUGUGGAAGAUUAGCUAAAGCCUGAGUGCAACUAGGAUAGACACAAUUUCUAUUGUAUAUUCUUGAUAUAGUUAUCUCAAUUUCUAUUGUAUCGUGUACUAUUAAAAGUAUGUACACCGCAUUUUUUAUUUGUAUAUUGUCUUAACUUAUAUAUUAAUUACAUAGAGAUUAAGCACAUUCUAUUGGUGUUGCCUUAUUUUUCACCCUUUCCUUUAUAGUGCACGAUUCAAAAGCACUCAAUAAAGUUUAAUCAAUGAAGAGCUUUAUGCGGCAGA
Trifolium pratense (red clover) is the source of this 2686-nucleotide long non-coding RNA. RefSeq lists it as uncharacterized. The record is from RefSeq and is a predicted model, not a curated record. The transcript has 6 exons. Lineage: Eukaryota; Viridiplantae; Streptophyta; Magnoliopsida; Fabales; Fabaceae.